This 303-nucleotide ribosomal RNA is filed under the name uncultured bacterium. RNAcentral's name for it is "partial 16S ribosomal RNA". It matches the Rfam family "Bacterial small subunit ribosomal RNA", at positions 507 to 807 of the family's 1533-position model. The record is from RNAcentral.
AGCAGCAGCCACGGGAAUACGUAGGGUGCGAGCGUUAAUCGGAAUUACUGGGCGUAAAGCGUGCGCAGGCGGUUGUGUAAGACAGGUGUGAAAUCCCCGGGCUCAACCUGGGAAUGGCAAUGGAUACUGGCAAGCUAGAGUGUGUCAGAGGAUGGUGGAAUUCCCGGUGUAGCGGUGAAAUGCGUAGAGAUCGGGAGGAACAUCAGUGGCGAAGGCGGCCAUCUGGGACAACACUGACGCUGAGGCACGAAAGCGUGGGGAGCAAACAGGAUUAGAUACCCCUGUAGUCCCUGUCUCUUAUAC